Dicentrarchus labrax (European seabass) is the source of this 398-nucleotide long non-coding RNA. RefSeq lists it as uncharacterized. The transcript has 3 exons. The record is from RefSeq and is a predicted model, not a curated record. Lineage: Eukaryota; Metazoa; Chordata; Actinopteri; Moronidae.
UGACAACGGUAAUCCACACGCCUUCCUCUGACUGCCACGUCAAGCUCCUUGUGGAACAGCAGCUUUUGAACUUAUUGUACUUGCUGCUGUAACUAACCUGACGCCUCGGACUGUGGGAGAAACACUGGAAGAGCCUGCCAAAACACAUUUAUCAGCGUUCACAACUCUGACUCUAUCUAUGAUUUGAGAAGGCAGCAGAGGUCUCCUCAGACUGUGAAGAUCAGCAGAGCCAGCAGCUGAUCAAGACUACAAGGUCUGUCCCAAACCCCCACGAUCCAUAUACAACAUGAAGAAUUCCUAACAUGAAUACAAUCAAACAUUCAUUGAAAAUGUGUGCAGCUGUACUAUCAGCUGGGCUGUGAAAGACAAGAAUUCUGACGAGGGAGGGCAUUGUAGGU